AAUACUUAGGAAUCUACCUAUUAAUGGGGGACAACAUUUCGAAAGGAAUGCUAAUACCGCAUACGCCCUACGGGGGAAAGCAGGGGAUCUUCGGACCUUGCGUUAAUAGAUGAGCCUAAGUCGGAUUAGCUAGUUGGUGGGGUAAAGGCCUACCAAGGCGACGAUCUGUAGCGGGUCUGAGAGGAUGAUCCGCCACACUGGGACUGAGACACGGCCCAGACUCCUACGGGAGGCAGCAGUGGGGAAUAUUGGACAAUGGGGGGAACCCUGAUCCAGCCAUGCCGCGUGUGUGAAGAAGGCCUUUUGGUUGUAAAGCACUUUAAGCGAGGAGGAGGCUACUCUAGUUAAUACCUAGAGCUAGUGGACGUUACUCGCAGAAUAAGCACCGGCUAACUCUGUGCCAGCAGCCGCGGUAAUACAGAGGGUGCGAGCGUUAAUCGGAUUUACUGGGCGUAAAGCGUGCGUAGGUGGCCAAUUAAGUCAAAUGUGAAAUCCCCGAGCUUAACUUGGGAAUUGCAUUCGAUACUGGUUGGCUAGAGUAUGGGAGAGGAUGGCAGAAUUCCAGGUGUAGCGGUGAAAUGCGUAGAGAUCUGGAGG
Molecule: ribosomal RNA, 597 nt
Filed under: uncultured bacterium
Lineage: Bacteria
Description: bacterial SSU rRNA
Rfam family: Bacterial small subunit ribosomal RNA
Source: RNAcentral